This is a long non-coding RNA of Acanthopagrus latus (yellowfin seabream), 1024 nucleotides long. RefSeq lists it as uncharacterized. NCBI's taxonomy places the organism in Eukaryota, Metazoa, Chordata, Actinopteri, Spariformes, Sparidae. The record is from RefSeq and is a predicted model, not a curated record. The transcript has 4 exons.
CCUAAGAAAAUGCCCACUUUGCCCAUUUUCUUCAUGCCAAUGUCAACCACGCCUCUUUUAACAGCCAAAGCAGGAUGCUGCAGCCGCCUUUAAUCCACACCGAGGAAGCAAGUCUGAGGCGUUUGGACAGACCGAGGAGCUCAGAGAGUCACUGCUACGUCAUGCUGAAAGGAUCCUGCUGAGGUGGUUCAACAUCUGAACAGGAUCCUUGUGACGCCUACCUUAGGAGUUUUUCUGGGUCUAACAGGUCAGUGACCCAGGGCACACCAGCUCUCAGUGGAGGGAUUAUUUAUCCCAUCAGACUGAAAACCACCCGAGGAUACUCCAGCAAGAGCUGAAGACGGUUCUGUGCAGUGGACGGAACUGGAGAGACAGGAAACCAUGUGAGGAGAAAGGAGAUGAGGAGACAUGAGUUUGUGGAGGUGAGCGUGGCUGGGGCGAGGCUGCAGGAGAGAGAGAUAGAGGUGGAGAGCGCUCAGGAGAGCAGAGCCAGGUGAGUGAUUGACAGAGCUAGCACCCAGUUACGAAUCACUCACUCCCUUUAGCAUGGAUGGACCUCGGAUGGAGGAGGCAUGAGAGAUGCCCGGGGGAGCAGGAGCACAGCAGGAGAGCAGGAGGAGAUCCUCUCAACUCAACUCAACUUUAUUUAUAAAGCUCUUUAAAAAGCCACAGCUGGGACAAAGUGCCGUACAUAAAAUAGAAAUAGAACAUAAAACAUAAAAAACAAGAUAAAACAAUAACAGUGUUAAAACGAUAUAAACAAAGGGUUACAACAAUAGCAGAGUCUGAUGCUGGGUUGAAAGGCAAAUAAUAAAAAAGGGUUUUAAGAUGAGUUUUAAAAAUGGACAGUGAGGCGUUUGUCUGAUGUGCAGCGGGAGGUCAUUCCAUAGUUUGUGACCAGCAGUAGAAAAAGCUCUUUCCCCUCUGAGCUUCCGCUUAGACCUCGGUACCUCCCGGAGCAGCUCGUCAGCUGACCUGAGGCGCCGGGCAGGAGCGUAAGCAUGGAGCAGCUCAGAGAGGUAAG